AAUGAACGCUGGCGGCAUGCCUAACACAUGCAAGUCGAACGAGACCUUCGGGUCUAGUGGCGCACGGGUGCGUAACGCGUGGGAACAUGCCCUUAGGUUCGGAAUAACUCCCCGAAAGGGGUGCUAAUACCGGAUAAUGUCUUCGGACCAAAGAUUUAUCGCCUUUGGAUGGGCCCGCGUUGGAUUAGCUAGUUGGUAGGGUAAAAGCCUACCAAGGCGACGAUCCAUAGCUGGUUUGAGAGAAUGAUCACCCACACUGGGACUGAGACACGGCCCAGACUCCUACGGGAGGCAGCAGUGGGUAAUAUUGGACAAUGGGCGAAAGCCUGAUCCAGCAAUGCCGCGUGAGUGAUGAAGGCCUUAGGGUUGUAAAGCUCUUUUACCCGGGAUGAUAAUGACAGUACCGGGAGAAUAAGCUCCGGCUAACUCCGUG
Molecule: ribosomal RNA, 433 nt
Filed under: uncultured bacterium
Lineage: Bacteria
Description: partial 16S ribosomal RNA
Rfam family: Bacterial small subunit ribosomal RNA
Source: RNAcentral